GACAACCAUGUUUUAUUCAUGUUCCAUAUCACAUCCAAAGGCUUAUUCUUUUUUCACAGAAUUCUGAGGAAUCUCCAACCAUCUCAACUGGUAAACAACCAACUGUUUCACCUACUUCAACUUCAUCUGUAACUACAACAACUUCUAGACCUUCAACCCCAAAUGUAAAGAGUAGGACGACGACAUCUAGACAUUCAACCCAAA
RNAcentral lists this long non-coding RNA (204 nucleotides) under Mytilus galloprovincialis (Mediterranean mussel). Lineage: Eukaryota; Metazoa; Mollusca; Bivalvia; Mytilida; Mytilidae. The record is from RNAcentral.